This 494-nucleotide ribosomal RNA is filed under the name uncultured bacterium. Its description in RNAcentral is "partial 16S ribosomal RNA". It matches the Rfam family "Bacterial small subunit ribosomal RNA", at positions 28 to 507 of the family's 1533-position model. The record is from RNAcentral.
GACGAACGCUGGCGGCGUGCUUAACACAUGCAAGUCGAACGGAAAGGCCUGCUUUCCCUUGUGGAUUGCGGGUACUCGAGUGGCGAACGGGUGAGUAACACGUGAGUGAUCUGCCCCCAACUUGGGUAUAAGCCUGGGAAGCUGGGUCUAAUUCCCGAUAGGACUGCAGGGUGGUGCCUGUGGUGGAAAACGAUUUUCUAGUGGUUGGGGAUGAGCUCGCGGCCUAUCAGCUUGUUGGUGGGGUAAUGGCCUACCAAGGCGGCGACGGGUAGCCGGCCUGGGAGGGUGGACGGCCACAUUGGGACUGAGAUACGGCCCAGACUCCUACGGGAGGCAGCAGUGGGGAAUAUUGCACAAUGGGCGGAAGCCUGAUGCAGCGACGCCGCGUGGGGGAUGACGGCCUUCGGGUUGUAAACUCCUUUCGACCGCGAGGAAGCCACCUGGUUGGAAGGGUGGUGACGGUAGUGGUAGAAGAAGCACCGGCUAACUACGUG